GGGCCCGUAGCGCAGUCUGGUAGCGCGUCGGCCUUUUAAGCCGGUGGUCGUGGGUUCGAAUCCCACCGGGCCCG
Molecule: transfer RNA, 74 nt
Filed under: Hadesarchaea archaeon
Lineage: Archaea; Methanobacteriati; Hadarchaeota (SeqCode); Hadarchaeia (SeqCode)
Also listed under: 1 other name
Description: tRNA-Lys
Rfam family: tRNA
About the family: Transfer RNA (tRNA) molecules are approximately 80 nucleotides in length. Their secondary structure includes four short double-helical elements and three loops (D, anti-codon, and T loops).
Source: RNAcentral